AUGUUAUUAAACCUUCUCACUCACUCACUCACUCACUCACUCACUCACUCACUCACUCACUCACUCACUCACUCACUCACUCACUCACUCACUCACUCACACACACACACACACACACACACACACACACACACACACACACACACACACACACACACACACACACACACACACACACACACGCACACACACACUAUCUGUCUAUACUCAAGCCUUUGCCCUUUUCCCUUACACUGGCUCACAAACAGGCACAUCCGUCUGUAUUUGUUUCUCCGUCCGCCCACCCAGUCUGAACGAACCUACCACUUCUGCGCACUUCCUCCAGUCCUCUCAAAUAGCCCAUCUGGGCAUGUGCAAACAAGCAAUCCAAUAGCCCACAAUACAUAUGUAUGGAAAUUCCAUAUUCAACAGACUGGAUUUUACUGCCAGUUAUCUGUGGGCGUGGGCCCAUCUAGAGAGGAAGAGAUGGAGAGAGAGUGGGAGAGAUGGAGAGAAAGAGGGAAAGAUGGAGAGGGCGGAGAGAUGGAGAGAAAGAGGGAGAGAUGGAGAGAGAGAGGGAGAGAACAGAGAGAUGGUGAGGAGAAAGAGAUGGAGAGAGAUGGAGAGAAGAGAGAGAUGGAGAGGAGAAAGAGAUGGAGAGGAGAGAGAGAUGGAGAGGAGAAAGAGAUGGAGAGAGAUGGAGAGAAGAGAGAGAUGGAGAGAGAGAGAGGGAAAGAUGGAGAGGGCGGAGAGAUGGAGAGAGAGAGGGAGAGAUGGAGAGAGAGAGAGAGGGAGAGAAGAGAGAUGGUGAGGAGAAAGAGAUGGAGAGAGAUGGAUAGAAGAGAGAGAUGGAGAGGAGAAAGAGAUGGAGAGGAGAGAGAGAUGGAGAGGAGAAAGAGAUGGAGAGAGAGAUGGAAAGGAAAAAGAGAUGGAGAGGAGAGAGAUGGAAAGGAGAGAGAGAUUGAGAGGAGAAAGAGAUGGAGAGGAGAGAGAUAUGGAGAGAGAGAUGGAAAGGAGAGAGAGAUGGAGAGGAGAGAGAGAUGGAGAGAGAGAUGGAGAGGAGAGAGAGAGAGAGAGGGAGAGAAGAGAGAGAUGGAGAAGAGAAAGAGAUGGAGAGAAGAGAGAGAUGGAGAGGAGAAAGAGAUGGAGAGGAGAGAGAGAUGGAGAGGAGAGAGAGAUGGAGAGGAGAAAGAGAUGGAGAGAGUGAAAGAGGGGAAUGAUGUAGAUGGUGCAGUAAUUUAUGUUCAUGAUGGUGUUCUUUACCAGACCAGCCUUCUGCACUAUAAUACACAGAGCCGGCGUUUCACAGACCCAAACCCAAUUUACCUAUUUUUACAAUCCCACAUCUUUUCCUCUGUUUCAUUCCCCCUCUUCCUCUCCCCUCUGUGUCUUCCCCCUAUCCUCCCGACUCUUGCGCUCUCCCUUUCCCUCUCUCCAUCCGUCGCCCCCUCUCUUCUGUCUCAUUCACCAUAUCCCGAUCUCUCUUCCCUCUCUCCCCCCUCUCCAUCUCUUGCUCUCUCCUUCCUGGGUGAUGGCUCAUAG
Molecule: long non-coding RNA, 1521 nt
Filed under: Oncorhynchus mykiss (rainbow trout)
Lineage: Eukaryota; Metazoa; Chordata; Actinopteri; Salmoniformes; Salmonidae
Description: lncRNA (ENSOMYG00000055557.1)
Source: RNAcentral